CUUUUCUUUUUAGUCUGUUUCUGUUUUAAAAAAUUGUCUCUUUCCUUUUUAGGCAAUUCAUUAAUUUUAAUUUUACACAUGACAUGUUCAAGACGACAAGCUUAAAUGACAUUUUGAUACAUUAUACGUAUCUUUAAUUUAACACUACAAGAUUCAUAAGUCUUCUUUUACUUUCUUAAACUUUGUGUCAAAUCAAAAUCAGACUUAACAUUAACCCAACACUAAAAGGUCCAAACUCUUGUGUCAUCUCUGGAGAAAGCAUGUGACCCUCGUACUCUAUGCGGGCAUCUCUCCUAGACACAGAGACAAAGUGACCUCUCGAUUAUCAUAUUACCCCUCAAAACACAUACACUAAUUCAUUCGUUUUGCUCGGAAAAGGACCUCCGAUCGGUGAAGGACAUACUUUUUCUUUUGGCGUUCAUUGGUGGAGAAAUUGUGUCCAGUUGCAAAAGAUUCAGUGAAUAAGCUAUGGUCCUUGAAGUUAAUAUAUCUUCACCUCAUAGGAGGUCACAGUCGCAGACUGCAUUUUCAACUUCAUCAUCAUUUAAAAGACAACAACGAGGUGAUGAAUUUGGGAGCUGUUCGACUCUACUUCAGCGUCACCGCUUCCUGCUAACUGCACUUGUCCUCCUAGCAUUUCUCUGCACUAUCUAUCUCUACUUUGCAGUCACAUUUUCCGGUGACUCAUGUUCUGGCUUGAAAGGGACUGAAAAAGCAGCAUGCUAUGUGGAGCAUGGAAAAGCAUCAAUCGCCAAAGGAAAACUCAAGUUCUUCUAGCACAUUGAUGGUUUUCUAGCUGAAAUAGUGUUUUGCUGAAUGAUUGCUCCUUUCCUUAUGAGGGGCAUACCAUGUUGCUCAGUGUAACUAUUCCUCACAUGUUCUUUCAGACUUGUGUGCAAUAGUUCGUUUAUAUAUAUCAAAUUGCACAAAAUUUGGUCCAGGAUACUAUUUGACAUCGGUGAGGAGUUCUCUGUUGCUAAAGGAAUCGAUCGUGGAUGUUAGAGCCCGUUAUUUGAGUGGCAUUUUCUUGUGGUAUAUGGAUGUAAACGAUGAUGAUGAAUCAACUAGGAACGUAGCAUUAUAAUAUGCAAACGUAAAGAUAGUUUGGCCAUACCGAAGGCCUUUCAAAUCCAUUUUUAGGUUUCAGUUUUCUUUUGACAUUUAUUCUUUUGGGUGAAAAUAUAUUCAUAGUUUAAAUA
Lycium barbarum (goji berry) is the source of this 1199-nucleotide long non-coding RNA. RefSeq lists it as uncharacterized. The record is from RefSeq and is a predicted model, not a curated record. NCBI's taxonomy places the organism in Eukaryota, Viridiplantae, Streptophyta, Magnoliopsida, Solanales, Solanaceae. The transcript is spliced from 2 exons.